UGUUUGAAAGAGUCCUAGGGGUAGUUUGUUUUUUUGGAGAAGAGUUGUUGUAACAAUCUCCUUUUAUCAGAGGAGGUAAAGUAGUGUUUGAAGUGGUCUUUGUACGUGUCAUGUAACUCCUUCCUUCUUUUUAGGAGGAGAUCUAUUUAAAUUUAGCAAUGAAUCCAUCGCAGGAGAUACCAACCAAAAAGUACGUAUAACAACUGGAGGUUGGAGCUUCCUCGAAAAGCUAUGCAUUUAGUGUCUUAUUCCGCAUCCUUGCCUUUCACGCAUUUCA
This 277-nucleotide long non-coding RNA is filed under the name Phoenix dactylifera (date palm). RNAcentral's name for it is "long non-coding RNA (PDAC_LNC002849)". Lineage: Eukaryota; Viridiplantae; Streptophyta; Magnoliopsida; Arecales; Arecaceae. The record is from RNAcentral.